This 468-nucleotide ribosomal RNA is filed under the name uncultured bacterium. RNAcentral's name for it is "partial 16S ribosomal RNA". It matches the Rfam family "Bacterial small subunit ribosomal RNA", at positions 28 to 507 of the family's 1533-position model. The record is from RNAcentral.
GACGAACGCUGGCGGCGUGCUUAACACAUGCCAGUCGAACGGAAAGGCCCUGCUUUUGUGGGGUGCUCGAGUGGCGAACGGGUGAGUAACACGUGAGUAACCUGCCCUUGACUUUGGGAUAACUUCAGGAAACUGGGGCUAAUACCGGAUAGGAGCUCCUGCUGCAUGGUGGGGGUUGGAAAGUUUCGGCGGUUGGGGAUGGACUCGCGGCUUAUCAGCUUGUUGGUGGGGUAGUGGCUUACCAAGGCUUUGACGGGUAGCCGGCCUGGGAGGGUGACCGGCCACAAUGGGACUGAGAGACGGACCAGACUCCUACGGGAGGCAGCAGUGGGGAAUAUUGCACAAUGGGCGGAAGCCUGAUGCAGCAACGCCGCGUGCGGGAUGACGGCCUUCGGGUUGUAAACCGCUUUCGCCUGUGACGAAGCGUUAGUGACGGUAAUGGGUAAAGAAGCACCGGCUAACUACGUG